Molecule: ribosomal RNA, 451 nt
Filed under: uncultured bacterium
Lineage: Bacteria
Description: bacterial SSU rRNA
Rfam family: Bacterial small subunit ribosomal RNA
Source: RNAcentral
GUGGGGAAUAUUGGACAAUGGGGGGAACCCUGAUCCAGCCAUGCCGCGUGUGUGAAGAAGGCCUUUUGGUUGUAAAGCACUUUAAGCGAGGAGGAGGCUACCGAGAUUAAUACUCUUGGAUAGUGGACGUUACUCGCAGAAUAAGCACCGGCUAACUCUGUGCCAGCAGCCGCGGUAAUACAGAGGGUGCGAGCGUUAAUCGGAUUUACUGGGCGUAAAGCGUGCGUAGGCGGCUUUUUAAGUCGGAUGUGAAAUCCCUGAGCUUACCGUAGGAAUUGCAUUCGAUACUGGGAAGCUAGAGUAUGGGAGAGGAUGGUAGAAUUCCAGGUGUAGCGGUGAAAUGCGUAGAGAUCUGGAGGAAUACCGAUGGCGAAGGCAGCCAUCUGGCCUAAUACUGACGCUGAGGUACGAAAGCAUGGGGAGCAAACAGGAUUAGAAACCCGAGUAGUCC